RNAcentral lists this ribosomal RNA (279 nucleotides) under uncultured bacterium. RNAcentral's name for it is "partial 16S ribosomal RNA". It matches the Rfam family "Bacterial small subunit ribosomal RNA", at positions 506 to 784 of the family's 1533-position model. The record is from RNAcentral.
UGCCAGCAGCCGCGGUAAUACGGAGGGUGCGAGCGUUAAUCGGAAUUACUGGGCGUAAAGCGCGCGUAGGCGGUUUGAUAAGCUAGCUGUGAAAGCCCCGGGCUCAACCUGGGAAUUGCCGUUAGAACUGUCCGACUAGAGUACAGUAGAGGGUGGCGGAAUUUCCUGUGUAGCGGUGAAAUGCGUAGAUAUAGGAAGGAACAUCAGUGGCGAAGGCGGCCACCUGGACUGAUACUGACGCUGAGGUGCGAAAGCGUGGGGAGCAAACAGGAUUAGAUA